AAUGUUGUCUGGCUCGAGGCC
Molecule: microRNA, 21 nt
Filed under: Prunus persica (peach)
Lineage: Eukaryota; Viridiplantae; Streptophyta; Magnoliopsida; Rosales; Rosaceae
Description: microRNA miRNA_335
Source: RNAcentral